Molecule: ribosomal RNA, 294 nt
Filed under: uncultured bacterium
Lineage: Bacteria
Description: partial 16S ribosomal RNA
Rfam family: Bacterial small subunit ribosomal RNA
Source: RNAcentral
AACGAACGCUGGCGGCGCGCCUAAUACAUGCAAGUCGAGCGAGAAGACGUAGCAAUACGUUUGUAAAGCGGCGAACGGGUGNGGAAUACAUGGGUAACCUACCCUCGAGUGGGAUAACUAGCCGAAAGGUUAGCUAAUACCGCGUACGCUCCUUGGACUUCGGUUCAGGGAGGAAAGGCGAUACCGUGGGUAUCGCGCUCUUGGAUGGGCUCAUGUCCUAUCAGCUUGUUGGUGAGGUAACGGCUCACCAAGGCUUCGACGGGUAGCUGGUCUGAGAGGACGAUCAGCCACACU